UAUCAGAAUCAAUAGCAUGUGUAGGUGUCACAAGUUUACUCAAAACAGAAGGUGAAUCAAGUGCAGAGCUAGAUGGCAGUUCCUUACCUCCCCUCGUAGUUGAGGGAAAAAUCUUGGUUCUUUGAUCUUUCAAGUUCUUCAUAGUGAUAAGUAGAUAUAAAUCCCAAGUGACUCAAAGAAUAGAGCUAUGCUCCCAGGCAACUGCGCCAGAAAAUAGUCUUGAUAACCCACAAGUAUAGGGGAUCGCAACAAUUUUCGAGGGUAGAGUAUUCAACCCAAAUUUAUUGAUUCGACACAAGGGGAGCCAAAGAAUAUUCUCAAGUAUUAGCAGCUGAGUUGUCAAUUCAACCACAC
RNAcentral lists this ribosomal RNA (354 nucleotides) under Triticum aestivum (bread wheat). RNAcentral describes it as "partial small subunit ribosomal RNA". Lineage: Eukaryota; Viridiplantae; Streptophyta; Magnoliopsida; Poales; Poaceae. The record is from RNAcentral.